UACGUAGGGGGCAAGCGUUGUCCGGAUUUAUUGGGCGUAAAGAGCGUGUAGGCGGCCAGACAAGUCUGCUGUGAAAACUCGAGGCUCAACCUCGAGCUGUCGGCGGAAACUGUCUGGCUAGAGUCCGGAAGAGGAGAGUGGAAUUCCUGGUGUAGCGGUGAAAUGCGCAGAUAUCAGGAAGAACACCUAUGGCGAAGGCAGCUCUCUGGGACGGUACUGACGCUGAGACGCGAAAGCGUGGGGAGCGAACAGG
RNAcentral lists this ribosomal RNA (253 nucleotides) under uncultured bacterium. Its description in RNAcentral is "partial 16S ribosomal RNA". It matches the Rfam family "Bacterial small subunit ribosomal RNA", at positions 524 to 776 of the family's 1533-position model. The record is from RNAcentral.